Unclassified non-coding RNA from Pan paniscus (pygmy chimpanzee), 88 nucleotides. It matches the Rfam family "Y RNA". From Rfam's summary of the family: Y RNAs are components of the Ro ribonucleoprotein particle (Ro RNP), in association with Ro60 and La proteins. The record is from Ensembl. NCBI's taxonomy places the organism in Eukaryota, Metazoa, Chordata, Mammalia, Primates, Hominidae.
GGCUGGUUUAAUAGUAGUAGGUUAUCAGAACUUACUAACAGUAUCACUAAAGUAGGUAUACAACCCCUGCUGCUCAAUUUGGCUUUAG